RNAcentral lists this long non-coding RNA (1960 nucleotides) under Struthio camelus australis. RNAcentral's name for it is "lncRNA (ENSSCUG00000010923.1)". The record is from RNAcentral. Lineage: Eukaryota; Metazoa; Chordata; Aves; Struthioniformes; Struthionidae.
CAGGCAUCAUGUGAGUUUCCUCUCCAACAUGACCAUAGUGGCAACAACCUGCAGUAAAUAAAUAAGCUUUCAUCUUUAUGCUUGUUAAGGAGACAGGAGUAGAAGCAGCCUUCCCUCUUGCUUUUAAGGGGAUGGAGAGGAUGAUUGAUUCAUAUAAUGAAACAUAAACUUUAUAGCUGAACUGAAGGAUAACCAAGAGAAGACCUAACUUCGUACAAACAUCAGAAAGGACAACCAAGAAGGCUCAGACUCUCCUCUCAUUCAGCUGUUGGGAGUGACUUUGUAGAAGACAUUCUGGAUUUUCUCCUAUGAGAAGGAACACAGGAUCUGGCCUUGUGUUUCAUCCAUGCAGCCUUUUAAUUUAUCUUGGCCCAAAGACAGAUACUACAACAGUGAAAAGAACUGUCGCUCGGAAUGAACAAUAUUCACUCUCAGCAUUUCUCAUUAAAGUGUUUUAGUGCUUUAUUUAUUCCAACUAUUUUCCUGUGCUUCUAUAACGGUUUUACACUUCUGUGAAAGUGUAAAAUUCUACAAACUUUACACAUCUGUAACAGUUUCUAUCCAAGGUUCUAAAAGAAUUUUUUAAAUGUUAAUCCAUCAAAUUUUUCAUUGGCCUUUGUUUAUGGCUCUUAAACAAUUCGCAUUUUAAAGAUGAAGGAACUGAGGCACAAAAAAGAUGCAGAGCCUUGCAGGGAAAUGACAGGGAAAUCAUCAAUAUCCAGGUUUCCCACACAAAUCACGAGAUUAUAUUCCUUACACUUUUCAACUUUAGAUCAGCAUGGGUUUCCUUCCUGGAGAGAAAGCAGAGUGUCCAGAGGUGUCAUACAACAGAGUCAGAGGAUAAUAAAAUAUAAAUUCUUUGAGUACAUCAUUCUUAGUGGCCACUUUGGAUCCUGGACUACAGUGACUCUGGUGAUCAGAAAAGAAAGCAAUGUGUACAAGAAAGAGAGCAGAAUCUAACUACAUCCUUCAUCAGCAGCAUAGAAUAAUAUUUCAACAAGCAUCCUUCUACAAAACAAGAUAAGUACUCUAGGCUGAGAUGCAGCUUGCUGUCAUGCAGCUACAGAAGGCAAGCAAGAUAUGCAGCAACUGAAAAAGAAAUAACUAUCCCACUAUAUACCAUUUUAGGAUUUACCUUCAACCUGUAGUAGCCUCAGGGAACUGUAGAAGGAACAGUGAGUUCACAUACUGCGGGUAACAGAUGAUGUUUAUGAAAUGUUUUAAUGUUGCUCAGUUUAGCAGGUUACUCAGUAAUGUUCCUCAGGAAUGGUGGUGAUUAAGCCUUGUAAUCCUGUCCAUUGGUGCUCCUAGAAAAAGAAAAGAAUUAACUAAAGACAUUGAGCCUUAAUGUUUGCAAAAUAUUUGGUAAAAUGUUUAUCUUAGAGAGAGAUGCCAGACUUCUGGAUUCUUAAUUAUAGUUCAACUGUUCAAAAUUAAUUAUAUCGAAAAGGAGCAAGGUCAGUCUAGAAAAAGAGAACAAAAAUCGUAAGAGUGAGUCACCGUAUAGUAUCUGCUCUAGAGAGUUUCUGGUCAGGGAAAUAGCCAAAGCAUUCUGCUAUCGCAGAUGCAAACAUAUAGCAGAUAAACCAAGCAGGAGAAGACUUGGGCAAUGCAUGAAACUGCUUGAGGCUGCUGGCUGAAAUCCAAGGAAGGCAUGGCCCAGUGAACUGGAGGUUACUCUAAAUCUAACAGAGGAGAGUGAGAAAUCAGAGAGACCUGACAAGAACCAGCUAGCUUUGCCAUUCAGAUUGCAUUUAGGCUCCUUCCAGAAACAGCUCUAGAAAGUUUCUGGGCACAUUUUAAGUUCUCUGUAAAAAUAAUAAUCCUAAAUUUAUUAAUCUCCUGAACAGGAAUUCCCAAUCUCAAGAUGCGUCAGCAUCUGAACUUUUCUGUGAAGACACAGAGCAGAUAACGAGGGGGAAAAAGUUUCCUCUUCAGCUAAUAUUGCCUAGCCCCAGCC